CUGACUGGAUGCGGGGGCUUCACCGCCUACCAAUUCCUGACAAACUCCGAAUGCUAUAUAAUGUUUCAGGGCAGUGAGGGCAUGGGUGCUAAGGUCCAUGUCCGAGAGGGAAAGAACCCAGAUCACCGGCUAAGGUCCCAAAGUAUAUGCUAAGUUGAUAUAACGCGGUGGAACUGCAUUGACAGCCAGGAUGUUGGCUUGGAA
RNAcentral lists this ribosomal RNA (204 nucleotides) under Oxyrrhis marina. RNAcentral describes it as "partial Bacterial large subunit ribosomal RNA". It matches the Rfam family "Bacterial large subunit ribosomal RNA", at positions 910 to 1111 of the family's 2925-position model. The record is from RNAcentral. Lineage: Eukaryota; Dinophyceae; Oxyrrhinales; Oxyrrhinaceae.